UGCAGUCGAGGGGCAGCAUAAUGGAUAGCAAUAUCUAUGGUGGCGACCGGCGCACGGGUGCGUAACGCGUAUGCAACCUACCUUUAACAGGGGGAUAACACUGAGAAAUUGGUACUAAUACCCCAUAAUAUCAUAGAAGGCAUCUUUUAUGGUUGAAAAUUCCGAUGGUUAGAGAUGGGCAUGCGUUGUAUUAGCUAGUUGGUGGGGUAACGGCUCACCAAGGCGACGAUACAUAGGGGGACUGAGAGGUUAACCCCCCACACUGGUACUGAGACACGGACCAGACUCCUACGGGAGGCAGCAGUGAGGAAUAUUGGUCAAUGGACGCAAGUCUGAACCAGCCAUGCCGCGUGCAGGAUGACGGCUCUAUGAGUUGUAAACUGCUUUUGUACGAGGGUAAACGCAGAUACGUGUAUCUGUCUGAAAGUAUCGUACGAAUAAGGAUCGGCUAACUCCGUGCCAGCAGCCGCGGUAAUACGGAGGAUUCAAGCGUUAUCCGGAUUUAUUGGGUUUAAAGGGUGCGUAGGCGGUUUGAUAAGUUAGAGGUGAAAUUUCGGGGCUCAACCCUGAACGUGCCUCUAAUACUGUUGAGCUAGAGAGUAGUUGCGGUAGGCGGAAUGUAUGGUGUAGCGGUGAAAUGCUUAGAGAUCAUACAGAACACCGAUUGCGAAGGCAGCUUACCAAGCUAUAUCUGACGUUG
This 700-nucleotide ribosomal RNA is filed under the name uncultured bacterium. RNAcentral describes it as "bacterial SSU rRNA". It matches the Rfam family "Bacterial small subunit ribosomal RNA", at positions 56 to 748 of the family's 1533-position model. The record is from RNAcentral.